This 301-nucleotide ribosomal RNA is filed under the name uncultured bacterium. RNAcentral describes it as "partial 16S ribosomal RNA". It matches the Rfam family "Bacterial small subunit ribosomal RNA", at positions 509 to 807 of the family's 1533-position model. The record is from RNAcentral.
CAGCCGCCACGGGAAUACGUAGGGGGCAAGCGUUGUCCGGAAUUAUUGGGCGUAAAGGGCUCGCAGGCGGUUUCUUAAGUCUGAUGUGAAAGCCCCCGGCUCAACCGGGGAGGGUCAUUGGAAACUGGGAAACUUGAGUGCAGAAGAGGAGAGUGGAAUUCCACGUGUAGCGGUGAAAUGCGUAGAGAUGUGGAGGAACACCAGUGGCGAAGGCGACUCUCUGGUCUGUAACUGACGCUGAGGUGCGAAAGCGUGGGGAGCAAACAGGAUUAGAUACCCCAGUAGUCCCUGUCUCUUAUAC